UUAAGCGACUAAGCGUACACGGUGGAUGCCCUGGCAGUCAGAGGCGAUGAAGGACGUGCUAAUCUGCGAUAAGCGCCGGUAAGGUGAUAUGAACCGUUAUAACCGGCGAUUUCCGAAUGGGGAAACCCAGUGUGAUUCGUCACACUAUCAUUAACUGAAUCCAUAGGUUAAUGAGGCGAACCGGGGGAACUGAAACAUCUAAGUACCCCGAGGAAAAGAAAUCAACCGAGAUUCCCCCAGUAGCGGCGAGCGAACGGGGAGGAGCCCAGAGCCUGAAUCAGCAUGUGUGUUAGUGGAAGCGUCUGGAAAGGUGCGCGAUACAGGGUGACAGCCCCGUACACAAAAGCGCAUGUGCUGUGAGCUCGAUGAGUAGGGCGGGACACGUGGUAUCCUGUCUGAAUAUGGGGGGACCAUCCUCCAAGGCUAAAUACUCCUGACUGACCGAUAGUGAACCAGUACCGUGAGGGAAAGGCGAAAAGAACCCCGGCGAGGGGAGUGAAAAAGAACCUGAAACCGUGUACGUACAAGCAGUGGGAGCACAGGUUUACCUGUGUGACUGCGUACCUUUUGUAUAAUGGGUCAGCGACUUAUAUUCUGUAGCAAGGUUAACCGUAUAGGGGAGCCGUAGGGAAACCGAGUCUUAACCGGGCGUUAAGUUGCAGGGUAUAGACCCGAAACCCGGUGAUCUAGCCAUGGGCAGGUUGAAGGUUGGGUAACACUAACUGGAGGACCGAACCGACUAAUGUUGAAAAAUUAGCGGAUGACCUGUGGCUGGGGGUGAAAGGCCAAUCAAACCGGGAGAUAGCUGGUUCUCCCCGAAAGCUAUUUAGGUAGCGCCUCGUGAAUUCAUCUCCGGGGGUAGAGCACUGUUUCGGCUAGGGGGCCAUCCCGGCUUACCAACCCGAUGCAAACUGCGAAUACCGGAGAAUGUUAUCACGGGAGACACACGGCGGGUGCUAACGUCCGUCGUGAAGAGGGAAACAACCCAGACCGCCAGCUAAGGUCCCAAAGUCAUGGUUAAGUGGGAAACGAUGUGGGAAGGCCCAGACAGCCAGGAUGUUGGCUUAGAAGCAGCCAUCAUUUAAAGAAAGCGUAAUAGCUCACUGGUCGAGUCGGCCUGCGCGGAAGAUGUAACGGGGCUAAACCAUGCACCGAAGCUGCGGCAGCGAACGUAUCACUUAAAGCGAUUCACGGGUUACGAUUGACGGAGCGAAGCGACGUCAAAGCGUAUACAAAGUCGAGUCGGUUUAGGAUACGUUCGUUGGGUAGGGGAGCGUUCUGUAAGCCCGUGAAGGUGGCCUGUGAGGGUUGCUGGAGGUAUCAGAAGUGCGAAUGCUGACAUAAGUAACGAUAAAGCGGGUGAAAAGCCCGCUCGCCGGAAGACCAAGGGUUCCUGUCCAACGUUAAUCGGGGCAGGGUGAGUCGACCCCUAAGGCGAGGCCGAAAGGCGUAGUCGAUGGGAAACGGGUUAAUAUUCCCGUACUUGGUGUUACUGCGAAGGGGGGACGGAGAAGGCUAUGUUGGCCGGGCGACGGUUGUCCCGGUUUAAGCGUGUAGGUGUGUGUUCCAGGUAAAUCCGGUUCACUUUAACACUGAGGCGUGACGACGAGGCACUACGGUGCUGAAGCAACAAAUGCCCUGCUUCCAGGAAAAGCCUCUAAGCAUCAGGUAACAUCAAAUCGUACCCCAAACCGACACAGGUGGUCAGGUAGAGAAUACCAAGGCGCUUGAGAGAACUCGGGUGAAGGAACUAGGCAAAAUGGUGCCGUAACUUCGGGAGAAGGCACGCUGACACGUAGGUGAAGUGAUUUACUCAUGGAGCUGAAGUCAGUCGAAGAUACCAGCUGGCUGCAACUGUUUAUUAAAAACACAGCACUGUGCAAACACGAAAGUGGACGUAUACGGUGUGACGCCUGCCCGGUGCCGGAAGGUUAAUUGAUGGGGUCAGCGCAAGCGAAGCUCCUGAUCGAAGCCCCGGUAAACGGCGGCCGUAACUAUAACGGUCCUAAGGUAGCGAAAUUCCUUGUCGGGUAAGUUCCGACCUGCACGAAUGGCGUAAUGAUGGCCAGGCUGUCUCCACCCGAGACUCAGUGAAAUUGAACUCGCUGUGAAGAUGCAGUGUACCCGCGGCAAGACGGAAAGACCCCGUGAACCUUUACUAUAGCUUGACACUGAACAUUGAGCCUUGAUGUGUAGGAUAGGUGGGAGGCUUUGAAGUGUGGACGCCAGUCUGCAUGGAGCCGACCUUGAAAUACCACCCUUUAAUGUUUGAUGUUCUAACGUGGACCCGUAAUCCGGGUUGCGGACAGUGUCUGGUGGGUAGUUUGACUGGGGCGGUCUCCUCCUAAAGAGUAACGGAGGAGCACGAAGGUUGGCUAAUCCUGGUCGGACAUCAGGAGGUUAGUGCAAUGGCAUAAGCCAGCUUGACUGCGAGCGUGACGGCGCGAGCAGGUGCGAAAGCAGGUCAUAGUGAUCCGGUGGUUCUGAAUGGAAGGGCCAUCGCUCAACGGAUAAAAGGUACUCCGGGGAUAACAGGCUGAUACCGCCCAAGAGUUCAUAUCGACGGCGGUGUUUGGCACCUCGAUGUCGGCUCAUCACAUCCUGGGGCUGAAGUAGGUCCCAAGGGUAUGGCUGUUCGCCAUUUAAAGUGGUACGCGAGCUGGGUUUAGAACGUCGUGAGACAGUUCGGUCCCUAUCUGCCGUGGGCGCUGGAGAACUGAGGGGGGCUGCUCCUAGUACGAGAGGACCGGAGUGGACGCAUCACUGGUGUUCGGGUUGUCAUGCCAAUGGCACUGCCCGGUAGCUAAAUGCGGAAGAGAUAAGUGCUGAAAGCAUCUAAGCACGAAACUUGCCCCGAGAUGAGUUCUCCCUGAGACUUAGAGUCUCCUGAAGGAACGUUGAAGACGACGACGUUGAUAGGCCGGGUGUGUAAGCGCAGCGAUGCGUUGAGCUAACCGGUACUAAUGAACCGUGAGGCUUAACCU
RNAcentral lists this ribosomal RNA (2984 nucleotides) under Salmonella enterica subsp. enterica serovar 4,[5],12:i:-. RNAcentral describes it as "23S ribosomal RNA". It matches the Rfam family "Bacterial large subunit ribosomal RNA". Lineage: Bacteria; Pseudomonadati; Pseudomonadota; Gammaproteobacteria; Enterobacterales; Enterobacteriaceae. The record is from RNAcentral.